AUUGAACGCUGGCGGAAUGCUUUACACAUGCAAGUCGAACGGCAGCACGGACUUCGGUCUGGUGGCGAGUGGCGAACGGGUGAGUAAUGUAUCGGAACGUGCCCAGUCGUGGGGGAUAACGUAGUGAAAAUUACGCUAAUACCGCAUACGAUCUAUGGAUGAAAGCGGGGGAUCGCAAGACCUCGCGCGAUUGGAGCGGCCGAUAUCAGAUUAGGUAGUUGGUGGGGUAAAGGCCCACCAAGCCAACGAUCUGUAGCUGGUCUGAGAGGACGACCAGCAACCCUGGAACUGAGACACGGUCCAGACUCCUACGGGAGGCAGCAGUGGGGAAUUUUGGACAAUGGGCGAAAGCCUGAUCCAGCCAUUCCGCGUGCAGGAUGAAGGCCCUCGGGUUGUAAACUGCUUUUGUACAGAACGAAAAGGUUUCUACUAAUACUAGGAGCUCAUGACGGUACUGUAAGAAUAAGCACCGGCUAACUACGUGCCAGCAGCCGCGGUAA
RNAcentral lists this ribosomal RNA (500 nucleotides) under uncultured bacterium. Its description in RNAcentral is "partial 16S ribosomal RNA". It matches the Rfam family "Bacterial small subunit ribosomal RNA", at positions 30 to 523 of the family's 1533-position model. The record is from RNAcentral.